GAAGUAAACGGGUAAAGCCGCGAGGUAGUCGUAAAAAUCAGCCUUUCGACUAUCCCGGCCCUCGCCGUCCUGAUGUAAGACGCAGGCGGUAGGGCGCGUAUAACGGGAUAGCGAGCGGUGCACUUUUUGCGACGAAGCAUUGCGACUGAAGCGAAUUUCGGAAUGAAGCGGGAAUGUGAAGACAGAGCCGACGGUUCUGCGUCUAAGUUUCCGCGGAUACCGAUAAGACGUUUCGGUGACUCGAGUAGUCGCCCCGAAGGGCUCGCUGGCUCACGGAGACCGGACGGUCGAAAUGCUUGUUCUUGCUCGCAGGAACCGGCGACCCCUGAUCGGAUUUCGAGGGCUUUGGCGAGAGACUACGAAGGAUCGGCGAUGUCUGCGGCGGCCGCUUACCCGACCCGUCUUGAAACACGGACCAAGGAGUCUAACAUGUGCGCGAGUUAUUGGGUGGCGAAAACCCAAAGGCGAAAUUAAAGUAAAGACCGGCGCACGCCGUGUCUAGAUACGAUCCUCGGCUUCGGCCGGGGCGGAGUAUCGUCCCGUCCAAGUGGUACGUCCACUGGGCGGCGAAAGAGCGUAAAUGUUGGGACCCGAAAGAUGGUGAACUAUGCUCGAGCAGAACGAAGCCAGAGGAAACUCUGGUGGAGGUUCGUAGCGGUUCUGACGUGCAAAUCGAUCGUCAG
Molecule: ribosomal RNA, 683 nt
Filed under: Miconchus sp. S40
Lineage: Eukaryota; Metazoa; Nematoda; Enoplea; Mononchida; Anatonchidae
Description: partial large subunit ribosomal RNA
Rfam family: Eukaryotic large subunit ribosomal RNA
Source: RNAcentral